This 433-nucleotide ribosomal RNA is filed under the name uncultured bacterium. RNAcentral describes it as "partial 16S ribosomal RNA". It matches the Rfam family "Bacterial small subunit ribosomal RNA", at positions 29 to 507 of the family's 1533-position model. The record is from RNAcentral.
AACGAACGCUGGCGGCAUGCCUAACACAUGCAAGUCGAACGAGACCUUCGGGUCUAGUGGCGCACGGGUGCGUAACGCGUGGGAACCUGCCCUUAGGUUCGGAAUAACUCCCCGAAAGGGGUGCUAAUACCGGAUAAUGUCUUCGGACCAAAGAUUUAUCGCCUUUGGAUGGGCCCGCGUUGGAUUAGCUAGUUGGUAGGGUAAAAGCCUACCAAGGCGACGAUCCAUAGCUGGUCGGAGAGGAUGAUCAGCCACACUGGGACUGAGACACGGCCCAGACUCCUACGGGAGGCAGCAGUGGGGAAUAUUGGACAAGGGGCGAAAGCCUGAUCCAGCAAUGCCGCGUGAGUGAUGAAGGCCUUAGGGUUGUAAAGCUCUUUUACCCGGGAUGAUAAUGACAGUACCGGGAGAAUAAGCACCGGCUAACUCCGUG